GACGAACGCUGGCGGCGUGCUUAACACAUGCAAGUCGAACGGAAAGGCCUCUUUCGGGGGGUACUCGAGUGGCGAACGGGUGAGUAACACGUGAGUAACCUGCCCUUGACUUUGGGAUAACUUCAGGAAACUGGGGCUAAUACCGGAUAGGAGCUCUUGUUGCAUGGUGGGGGUUGGAAAGUUUCGGCGGUUGGGGAUGGACUCGCGGCUUAUCAGCUUGUUGGUGGGGUAGUGGCUUACCAAGGCUUUGACGGGUAGCCGGCCUGAGAGGGUGACCGGCCACAUUGGGACUGAGAUACGGCCCAGACUCCUACGGGAGGCAGCAGUGGGGAGUAUUGCACAAUGGGCGGAAGCCUGAUGCAGCAACGCCGCGUGCGGGAUGACGGCCUUCGGGUUGUAAACCGCUUUCGCCUGUGACGAAGCGUGAGUGACGGUAAUGGGUAAAGAAGCACCGGCUAACUACGUG
RNAcentral lists this ribosomal RNA (466 nucleotides) under uncultured bacterium. RNAcentral describes it as "partial 16S ribosomal RNA". It matches the Rfam family "Bacterial small subunit ribosomal RNA", at positions 28 to 507 of the family's 1533-position model. The record is from RNAcentral.